Saccostrea echinata is the source of this 388-nucleotide long non-coding RNA. RefSeq lists it as uncharacterized. NCBI's taxonomy places the organism in Eukaryota, Metazoa, Mollusca, Bivalvia, Ostreida, Ostreidae. The record is from RefSeq and is a predicted model, not a curated record. The transcript is spliced from 4 exons.
CCUAACAAACCCAGACUUUACAUCUUGCGUGUCAUACCAGUGCUUAAAUAACGAAUAUCUUUACAAAGAUGUGGACUGUAGCUCUGAAAAUGUUACAGAAGCAGCUUGUAGUACUUUUUUUUCUUGCACAUUUGAACUUGGAGAUCCAUGUUUUCUCUUUCAAGUGAAAAAUGAUGACCUUGAUUGGACAAUAACUAACAUCAGCACAACCAUUGGACCACAGAAAGCUUAUCAAGGAUCAUAUUUUGCCUUUGUUAACGACAGCAGUGACUACUAUAAGCAAGGAAAUCGAGCAAUUCUUAGGUCAAAUAUAAACAUUCCUGACUUCAAAGACAGUGACUGGUGUCUACGGUUUUGGAUCUAUAUUCACAGUACUAGUGGCGGAGGA